AAGUCGUAACAAGGUUUCCGUAGGUGAACCUGCGGAAGGAUCAUUAUCACGUAUCCACGUAUAAACCAUUGCGAACUGUUUUUUUAACCUUUGUUGGUGGAUGAGGAGAGAGAGAAAAAUUUGUUGAAAAACAUAUUUUUUUUUCUUCUCUUUGUUACAGCUAACAAAGUGUAAUUAAUUACUAUUAACCAUUAUAACCCAAACUUUAUAACUUUUUUGAACUAAUUUUUAUUUUAUACUCUUCGGAGAUAAAAUUCAUUACGAAACAAAGAACAACUCUUAGCAACGGAUAUCUUGGUUCUC
RNAcentral lists this unclassified non-coding RNA (303 nucleotides) under fungal sp. RNAcentral describes it as "partial internal transcribed spacer region". The stretch from base 1 to 46 matches the Rfam family "Eukaryotic small subunit ribosomal RNA", at positions 1786 to 1831 of the family's 1831-position model. Lineage: Eukaryota; Fungi. The record is from RNAcentral.